GUGUCACAGAAAACUGCCUGGGACAACCAGGAGGAAGGUGAGGAUGACGCCAAGUCCGCGUGUCCCUUGAUGCCCUGGGCCGCACGCAUGAUACAAUGGAGCCGACAGCGGGACGCAAUAUCGUAAGAUGGAGCAAAUCCCUUAAACGGCUCCCCAGUUCGGAUCGAGGUCUGCAACUCGACCUCGUGAAGCCGGAAUCGCUAGUAAUCGCGCAUCAGCCAUGGCGCGAUGAAUAUGUUCCUGGGUCUUGUACUCACCGCCUGUCAAGCCAAGCGAGUUGGGAAUGCCCAAAGUCCCUGGGUUCCACCAGGGCCCAAGGCAGGCUCAAUGAGAGGGGCUAAGUCAUAACAAGGCACGUGUAGCGGAAGCUGUACGUGGAUCACUUCAUUU
RNAcentral lists this ribosomal RNA (390 nucleotides) under bacterium. Its description in RNAcentral is "bacterial SSU rRNA". It matches the Rfam family "Bacterial small subunit ribosomal RNA", at positions 1136 to 1533 of the family's 1533-position model. The record is from RNAcentral.